ACGCUCGACACCUACAGGAGGCAGCAGUGGGGAAUAUUGCACAAUGGGGGAAACCCUGAUGCAGCGACGCCGCGUGAAGGAAGAAGUAUUUCGGUAUGUAAACUUCUAUCAGCAGGGAAGAAAAUGACGGUACCUGACUAAGAAGCCCCGGCUAACUACGUGCCAGCAGCCGCGGUAAUCUGAGCGGGCUGGCAAGGC
Molecule: ribosomal RNA, 198 nt
Filed under: uncultured bacterium
Lineage: Bacteria
Description: partial 16S ribosomal RNA
Rfam family: Bacterial small subunit ribosomal RNA
Source: RNAcentral